Molecule: ribosomal RNA, 414 nt
Filed under: Roseobacter sp. MED193
Lineage: Bacteria; Pseudomonadati; Pseudomonadota; Alphaproteobacteria; Rhodobacterales; Roseobacteraceae
Description: bacterial LSU rRNA
Rfam family: Bacterial large subunit ribosomal RNA
Source: RNAcentral
AGUCCAUAUCGACGGCAGUGUUUGGCACCUCGAUGUCGGCUCAUCUCAUCCUGGGGCUGGAGCAGGUCCCAAGGGUACGGCUGUUCGCCGUUUAAAGAGGUACGUGAGCUGGGUUUAGAACGUCGUGAGACAGUUCGGUCCCUAUCUGCCGUGGGUGUAGGAUACUUGAGAGGAGUUGCCCCUAGUACGAGAGGACCGGGGUGAACGAACCACUGGUGGACCAGUUGUCGUGCCAACGGCAGUGCUGGGUAGCUAUGUUCGGACAGGAUAACCGCUGAAGGCAUCUAAGCGGGAAGCCCCCCUCAAAACAAGGUAUCCCUGAGGGCCGAGGUAGACCACCUCGUCAAUAGGCCAGAGAUGUAAGCGUGGUAACACGUUCAGUUGACUGGUACUAAUCGCCCGAUUGGCUUGAUC